CUCAAACAUGAAACAACCUAAAGAACUGUAUGGCGAAAGACUGCCUUCGCCUGCCUAUAAAUUCAGCAGUAGAUACUGAUACAGCCCAUGCUGAAAAAAGCUACAAGCUUUAGAUCAAAACAUUAACAUGCAGACGAUCAAGAAAACUUAAACGGCGAGAUCAAAAUAACUGAAGUUUGGAUUAAACCAAAAUUUCAACACAAGAUAACAAGAUAGUCUUAACUUAUUUAUCAGAUAUCUAUACAUUCUAUAAGCAGCAUUGGCUAAUACUUGAGGGGGUCUCUUCCUUCUCCUCAAUUACACCAUGCCGCCUAGCUUUCAACCCUCUACAACAUAUGGUAACAGGAAAUAUCUUGACUAAGAGAGUUGUAAGCGAUUAAAAAUCCACCUGAUAAUGAAGACCAAUUAUAAUGGGGUGUGCCAAUCUCGGGGAACAAGCUAUAUCUAUGAAGCCCCGACUGACUAUAUACGUUUCACCACACCGAAGCAAGAUAUUCCAAUUUGGUACUAGCCAUGAUAUUGGUGAAACGU
Molecule: unclassified non-coding RNA, 531 nt
Filed under: Hevea brasiliensis (rubber tree)
Lineage: Eukaryota; Viridiplantae; Streptophyta; Magnoliopsida; Malpighiales; Euphorbiaceae
Source: RNAcentral